CUUUUGGUUCAACCUGAGAGUUUGAUCCUGGCUCAGAACGAACGCUGGCGGCAGGCUUAACACAUGCAAGUCGAACGGUCUCUUCGGAGGCAGUGGCA
RNAcentral lists this ribosomal RNA (98 nucleotides) under Stappia sp. Its description in RNAcentral is "partial 16S ribosomal RNA". It matches the Rfam family "Bacterial small subunit ribosomal RNA", at positions 1 to 100 of the family's 1533-position model. Lineage: Bacteria; Pseudomonadati; Pseudomonadota; Alphaproteobacteria; Hyphomicrobiales; Stappiaceae. The record is from RNAcentral.